Molecule: long non-coding RNA, 221 nt
Filed under: Nicotiana benthamiana
Lineage: Eukaryota; Viridiplantae; Streptophyta; Magnoliopsida; Solanales; Solanaceae
Description: long non-coding RNA (NBEN_LNC034761)
Source: RNAcentral
UCUGUUAGUCAAAAAACAUGAUAGGCACCGGCCAGCUGAAAAAGGAGGAUGGUAGGCAUGGUAGGCACCGGCCAAUUGAUUGUCAAAAAUUGGUUGGUGGCCACCGAUUGUGUCCACAUUUGUGUGUAUUCUCAUUUGCACAUUGAUGGCUUUCCUCUCCUAUAAAUACUUGUGAGUAGCAAGCAAAGAAGAUCACACCACAAGAAGCUAAACACAAGANN